AGGACUAAGUGUAUUUAAUAUUCGGAAAACUAGGAAGAGAAAUGAAGACAUUAAAAGAGAUGUUGAAAUAAUAAUAGUUGAAGUAUGAAGAUAUGUAAAAAUUCCUUUUUCUCAAACAGGCAAAGCUGGCUGGGAACGAUCCUCUGCCAUUUUAAGAUCCAAGGACCACCAAACUGUUCAUUAUUCUCUAAUCACAUGGUUAUAAUUCACCCAAACUGGGAUGAGAAAUGGAGAAAUGAUGACAAUUGAAGUAUGAAGAAUGCAGAAGUAUGUUUGCCUCAAGUGGAAAAAGGGAAGCAUUGGGGGUCUGUCAGGUAACCAUGUGACCAUCCCAUUCAGACAGAGCUGGCUGGGAACGAUCCUCUACCAUUGUAGUGACCCAAGGACCACCAAACUGUUCAUUAUACUCUAAUCACAUGGUUAUAAUUCAUCCAAACUGGGAAGAGAAAUGGAGAAAUGAUGACAAUUGAAGUAUGAAGAACGCAAAAGUAUGUUUGCCUCAAGUGGAAAAAGGGAAGCAUUGGGGUCUGUCAGAUAACCAUGUGACCAUCCCAUUCAGACAGAGCUGGCCGGGAACGAUCCUCUACAGUUGUAGUGACCCCCAAGGACCACCGAACUGUUCAUUAUACUCUAAUCACAUGGUUAUAAUUCAUCCAAACUGGGAAGAGAAAUGGAGAAAUGAUGACAAUUGAAGUAUGAAGAACGCAAAAGUAUGUUUGCCUCAAGUGGAAAAAGGGAGGUCUGUCAGACAACCAUGUGACCAUCCCAUUCAGACACAGCUGGCCGGGAACGAUCCUCAAGGACCACCGAACUGUUAAUCACGCUCUGAUCACAUGGUCACAAUUCAUCCACCAGACGUAGGUUCCUGUCUCCUUAGAACUCAAGGAUACAGAGGUACGAGCCUAUAGAACAGAUCCUGUUCAAGUAAGGUCGUGCUUUCUAACCGUAACUCAGUGUUCUAAAAUACCUCUACUUUCUUUUGUACGCUCUCGAUGUGGGAUUGUAUCUAUUCAGAAGCUUGUGCAGACUACAGAAGUAAGCUAGAUAUAAAGAUGUUUUCUUAUGUUUUUUUCUGUCAUUUUAUAUAUUCAAAACCAGACCAGAAUGUUCUGAAAAGUCUGGCAUACUUUAAUUAAUGUGUGGGUGGAUGACAGACUAGUUGCAUGGGCUUCCUUAUUUUCUAAAAUAUUGCAAGUGGUGUUAUAAAGUCGGGAUAUUUAAUUACAAGUUGAUAGAGAGACUGGAUCAUCUAACACGAUACCUGAGAUGAAAAACUUUGACAAUGCGAAGGAUCUCGAGGGGUUAAUUCUUGAUGAUAGUAUUUGGAGCAGCGUUACAUUUACUGAAUAGGUUUGCCAGAACACUUCCUUUCCUUCGGUUGAAACUUGGAACCCAGCCAAUACAACCAAUCAAUUUGAAUUUCAGAGAUGGAAAAGGUGAAAGACAUUAGAGUCCCUUCCAAGUCUACCUUUACUACUCAAAUGAUUUCUUCUUUUAUCUUGUAACCGGAAGAGGUACCAACAGAAGUGGUGCAUGCAUUAGAAGAAGAUGAAUUAAGGGUUAAUGCUUCUGAUGAAAUUUUGCUGAAUUCCAAUACCGAAACAGGGAUUGCAGCGUAUCUAAGCAUUCAGGAGGAGGGCUUUGAUUUGAAUGAGAGUUCCGGCAAUUUCGGGUUCUUAUGAUGUUAAAGAUCAGAAUAUUGCAUCAGAUAAUGUGGAAGAAACUGCUUUCAAUUCUACAUUGUUGGAUGCUGCAAAUUCUGCUGAUGAGGAUGAAAAGGUCAGGGAGGAUUUGACAAUUUUGAGAUUGAAAACACAGGAUCUUGAGCCAGUUGAGCCACCAUCCACUAAUGAGUGAAGUGAAUAUUGCCGGUGAUGAUUGGAGUCCAAAAAGUGAUGUUGCUGAGCUUGUGGAAGAGAAAUUGAGUCAGAUGGAGAGCAAGAUGGGUCGUAAAAGGACGGAGAAGAAACAUCCGGGACUAAGACAUGGAAUAGGGAUGUCAGAAAACCGGUAUCCUUUCGUAAGGAAGAUGAACUACGAAAGCUAUUUCGUUGCUUGGGCGAAGUUGCAAAGUGUUUUUGUAGUCUGUCAGACAACCGCCUGAUCAUCCCAACCAGGGAAAGCUUGUUGGGAACGAUCCUCUGCCGUUGCAUGAUCCGUGGACCAUCUAACUGCUAAUCACGCUCUGAUCAAACGGUCUUAGUUCAUCCACCAGACUGAAGUUCCUGUCUCCUUUGAACUCAAGGAUACAGAGGUACGAGCCUAUAGAACAGAUCCUGUUCAAGUAAGGUCGUGCCCUUUGACACUAUCCAACGCAUCAAAAUAACCGUUCCAUUUUUUGUGAAGUCCCGAUGUGGGACGGUGUGAUGCUUGUCAGCGUGGUAUAAUAUAUAAACGUGACCUCCACCUUUAAACAGGAUCACUCCGAACC
RNAcentral lists this long non-coding RNA (2431 nucleotides) under Vitis vinifera (wine grape). RNAcentral's name for it is "long non-coding RNA (VVIN_LNC005918)". Lineage: Eukaryota; Viridiplantae; Streptophyta; Magnoliopsida; Vitales; Vitaceae. The record is from RNAcentral.